Long non-coding RNA from Prionailurus viverrinus (fishing cat), 875 nucleotides. RefSeq lists it as uncharacterized. Lineage: Eukaryota; Metazoa; Chordata; Mammalia; Carnivora; Felidae. The record is from RefSeq and is a predicted model, not a curated record. The transcript has 3 exons.
UUUGGCCUUAUUGGCAUGCUUUUCCAUUCCCCUAUUCAUUAACAGCGAUAAUUGCCAGGGCAACCAUCAAACACACCCCUUCUUUAGAGAAAGAAGAUCCACGGGACACUCGCUCUACAGUUGUCAACCGUAUGGUGUCCCGUUUUGGGAAGCUGUCAAAAAUCAUAAAAUCACUGACUUCAUCUUGAGGUUCUUCGGUGGCAUGAUGGCUGCCCGAAGCUCUGAGCUCUAACUCCAGAAGUUGGACGUCUAGAAGGCAUCUGUAUUCAUUUCCCAAGGCUGCCAUCAAAUGUACCGUAAGCCGGAAGGCUUAAAACCAGAGAACUCUGUUGUCACGCAGCUUUGGAGGCCUCAAGUCCAGAAUCGAGGGUCAGCAGGGCCACGCUCCUUCCGAGAUCCUAGGAAGAAUCCUUCCUCAAGCCCCCGAUGGUGGCAUUCCUUGACAUCCUCGGUGCUCCUUGAUGUGGAGCCGCAUCUCUCCAAUCUCUGCUUCAUCUUCAAAUGACCUCCUGGCAGAGACGUUAGUCAUAUUGGACUCUGGGCCCACCUUGCUGCAGUACGAUCUCGUCGUAAGGAAUUACACCUGUAAGACCCUUUCCCCGAAUAAGAUCACAUUGUCAAGUACUGGGGGCUGGGACUUUAACAUAUCUUUUGGGGAAGGGGGACACAAAAUUUUAAUAUAGUUUCCAUGUCAUUUUUUAGCAGCUUUGUUGAGAUACCUUCCUGUGGUUUUUUUUGAGAUAGUUUCUGCCUUAUGACCUUUCCGUUUGCAGUGUCUUUGCCCUAGUCUUCUCAUGGCCUCCUUAGGUCCUUCAGCCCUCUGCUCGAAACUUCUUCAGAGAGGCCUCUUCCGACCACUCUAUUUAAAAUAGAAA